This 339-nucleotide ribosomal RNA is filed under the name Triticum aestivum (bread wheat). RNAcentral's name for it is "partial small subunit ribosomal RNA". Lineage: Eukaryota; Viridiplantae; Streptophyta; Magnoliopsida; Poales; Poaceae. The record is from RNAcentral.
AUGGAAAACAAGGUCUCUCAGCCUACAGAAGAUGGACAGGAAUCGAACUCUGCGACGGAGGCUGUAGCUGAAGUGCUUGCUAAGAACACUAAGAAGCCAAGGCUUCUUCAGCAUGUGGGGAUCCAGCAUGUCCAUGCGAGAUCUAGCGAUAGCAACUAUGAAGCAGAAUUGGCAAAGAGGGGCAAUGUCGAGCUUCGGGCACUUGUUGACACCUUGACCAAGCAGUUGAAGGAGUCCGAAGAAGCAAGGACCAGGCAAGAUGAGGAGCAUAGGAAGAGAGAUGAGGAGAACAGGAAGAAGCAAGCUGAGAUGGAUGCAAAAAACUGGACUUUUUGCUAA